RNAcentral lists this ribosomal RNA (484 nucleotides) under uncultured bacterium. Its description in RNAcentral is "partial 16S ribosomal RNA". It matches the Rfam family "Bacterial small subunit ribosomal RNA", at positions 30 to 507 of the family's 1533-position model. The record is from RNAcentral.
AUUGAACGCUGGCGGCAGGCCUAACACAUGCAAGUCGAGCGGCAGCAGAGUGAUUGCUCCCUCUUUCGGCUGGGGAGUGGCGGGCAAUGGCUAGGAACAUCCCUGGUUAUGGUUGCGUACGUCCGGAAAUGGGGGACAUUACGCUAUUACUCCUUAGGGCGUACGGGGGGGAUCAUGGGACCUUCCGACCUUUUACGAGUCUAUGUCGGAUUAGCUAGUUGGUUGGGUAAAGGCCUACCAAGGCGACGAUCCGUAACUGGUCUGAGAGGAUGAUCAGUCACACUGGAACUGAGACACGGUCCAGACUCCUACGGGAGGCAGCAGUGGGGAAUAUUGGACAAUGGGCGAAAGCCUGAUCCAGCCAUGCCGCGUGUGUGAAGAAGGUCUUCGGGUUGUAAAGCACUUUAAGUUGGGAAGAAGAGCAGUAGGUUAAUACCUUGCUGUUUUGACGGUACCAAAAGAAUAAGCACCGGCUAACUUCGUG